This 71-nucleotide transfer RNA is filed under the name Imasa heleensis. RNAcentral describes it as "tRNA-Cys". It matches the Rfam family "tRNA". Rfam says of the family: Transfer RNA (tRNA) molecules are approximately 80 nucleotides in length. Lineage: Eukaryota; Malawimonada; Malawimonadea; Malawimonadida; Imasidae. The record is from RNAcentral.
GACUAAGUAGCAUAGUGGUAAUGCAUGAGUCUGCAAAACUUGUUAUGAUGGUUCAAUUCCAUCCUUAGUCU